This is a long non-coding RNA of Phragmites australis (common reed), 3370 nucleotides long. RefSeq lists it as uncharacterized. The transcript is spliced from 7 exons. NCBI's taxonomy places the organism in Eukaryota, Viridiplantae, Streptophyta, Magnoliopsida, Poales, Poaceae. The record is from RefSeq and is a predicted model, not a curated record.
CCUCACCGUCCUUCGAACGCUGGGGACUUGCUUUCUGUGCGGAGGGGGGAUGGAUGCAUGGAUAUGUUACUGUUGCUCCAUCUGAUUAGCACACUCUUAACACUGAGAAGAGGCUAACAACUGCACAGCGUACUUAAAUAAUUCAGGAGGUGUCUUCGCUUCACUGAAGUUAGCUUAGCCGAGGUACUGAGGUACGACCUCCCGUCCCAUCGCUCUCCCCUCCCCUCCCAUUGAACGAACCCAAACACCAAGAAACCAAAUUCUUCUCUCCGUUCUUCCUCCUCCUGCUUCCAGUUCCAGUACGGCCGCCGCUCACCGGAUCCAAGAAGAAUCGAUUCAUCUAGCUCCCUGUUAAUUGUUCCAUAUUUCGUUUGCGUUUAUUUGGUUUCAGCAGUGCUUGAGGCGUGAGAAAGGCCCUGAAGAGAUUGACAGAAGAGAGUGAGCACCCGGCGCGGCGGUCGGCAUCGAAGGCAUGCCGUCCCCGCCGCGUGCUCGCUCCUCUUUCUGUCAGCCUCUCCCUCGUCCUGAGCCGCUUCUGUUCAAUUCAAUCCAGCCGUUCUGAUCUGAGUUUAGGCGACAGACACUACCGGAGGAGAGAGGCUUUUGCUGUGGCGCGGUGGAAACCGUGCCGCGCAGAGUUGGACACACAUGCCGCGAGAGGACGCUGGCUUUUGCAGGCAGCAAGGACAUGUCACUUCAUUAUCUUCUAGAUAUACGCAUUGAUUUGUAUAUUUUUUGCUCUCGAUUUGAUCCCUUUCCGUCAGGCUGUCGGGGAGCUACUACCGAGGAGGAGGAAGAGAUGAGGUUGCUGAUACUGAUGGCACGGCAUGCAAAGAGUACUCCGAGGAACAAGCUAUUGUGGCUUUGCAGUACACUGAAAAAUGAUUGGUUUGGCCAUUUAUUUUGCUUGUCCCCAAGAUUUUUCUUCCCCGUCUAGCUCCCAGCUGCUCGCAGCCUGCCUUGGAAGCUGAAUUCAGGAGAUGCUCAUAGUACACCGCAACACUCCAUUAUUGCUGCAUCGUUUCUGCACUUUCUUGCUGAGGUUCUUGGUUUGGAGUUCUUGGGACCUCCUGCGGCCAUGGCGAUAGUGAUGGUUGUGCUGCUCAUGAGCUCAUGUUGGCUAAAAAAUGGAGCAUGGAGGUUACCAUGCGAUGAGCCAUAUUUGGCAAAGACGGUGGCCUCACCUUGCUUUUGCCAGAUCUGGCUUGCAUCUUAGGACAUGGGCGUCAUGAUUUAAUGGGAAACGCCAUUUGCUGCUUAUGACUAAGGAGUACUCUUCCAAGGUUGUACUACUUUUAGACAGCAAAUGUCAAGGUUGUACCACCUGCAUAUUGAUUAUUGCAUUUGCUUUCUCGGAUCACAUUCAAAAGGAAGCUGCUUUUUCCGAAGUUGCAGGCUGGCGAAUUAAGUUAUAUGGCUGAGUUCAUUAAGAGGGAGAGAGAAUUAGGUACAGUGAGCAGGACACAAGAAGGCUGUUGUCCCAAAGAAAUACGACAUAAACAGAAGUAUGAUGGCAGAUUAUGUUCCUAAUUAGUGGACGUUCUGGGGUAAUCGGCGCUCCACCAAGACCAAAUUCUUCUUUGAUAAUGCAGUACAGUGCUAUUAGCUGUUUAUAUUGAGCUUAGAAUAUCUAAGUGUUUUGUUCCUUUCGCAGCAUCCAAUGCAUUAGUAUGAACAGAGUGCUUGAAAUUCUGCUGAAAAAAUUGAAGCAGAUAAGUCCUAACAAUUCAUCAAUGAUGACCUAGUGCAAGAAUGACAUACAAAAUUUGAGUGACCAAGACAGGAUGUAAAAUGGCUAUCCAUCUUUGAAGAACCUUAUGGAAUUAAUUUCAGACGCAUGCCUAUCUUGCAACAAGUAAGAUCAUAUGCAGGAGCAUGCCAUGUAUCAAUCAUACUGUAACAGUUGGUGAUUUUUCUGGAAACAAGAUAAUAAUCAUUACUAUGAUAUGGAUGCCCUUUCUCCUUUAAAAAAUAAGUAUGCAAGAAAUUAGCUCUUCUGUUGGUACUCUAGACAUUCAAAAAUAUGAAAUGUAGAAUCAUUUGUACUAUGAUAUGCCUGCCCUUUCUUAGAAAAAUAUGUAUUCAUGAAAUAAAACUCUUCUGUUGCUACUUUAUGCAUUCAAGUGAAGUACAAAACGUAUAACAUAUGCACUUUGUUUUUGAGGAACGACAAUAUGCACUUUCAUGCUACUGGUAAGAAGUCCAGUUCUUUGUUGGGACUCCUACACCACACACGGGAGUGAACUUAUAACCAUUUUUCAGGCAGAUUUAGCUGCUUGUUUCUCCUACUACUAUAAGCUAAUGAUACUAAUUGGUUGAAUACUCUGCAUUAGUAUAUGAAAUCAGAAAUCCUGUUCUAGUGGUUCCUCUUUGUGCACCACCCUGUUUUGUCGAUAUUUUCUCAUAAGCACUACAGUCCUGCUGCUGUUUGUUGCCACUCUUGGCCUCCCAUAUUUCCGGCAUUGACUUUGCAUAACUUUUUUCUAUUCCUCAAUUAUGAAUAGGCAGAUAUCCUGACCUCAUUCCAGGGAAAAUAAUUCACUUGAUUUGUCUUCAAUUUCAUGUCAACAGCCGAUCAAAAAAAUAUAUUGUCAACAGAUCCUGGCAACAAAAGGUUGUGUAUAAUCUGGGAGUAGAUAUGUACGAUGAUACCAUAUUCCAAUGUCAAGAAGAAUGUUCAUCAUACUACUGCAAGAAGAUUUCAGGAACUGCUUCAAUCUAUGAAACUAACCCAGGAGAUAUACUCCCAACGUUGAAGAUGUUGAUUGAGGACGCUACAGAAUACAGACGCAAUACUGCGAGAGGAAUAGGAAAUGUGAAUUGCCAUGGAGCAGCUUCGGAGGCACAGCAAGCAAGAAAGUAAACAAUGACAACGGUGAACACGGAACUGAUUCCAAGCAUCUCAGGUGUCACAUGCGGUGAGGGUGAACGCUUGCUAUUGCUGAAUCGAAAAUCUUCUGUUUCGGUCAAGGAGUUUAGUGCCUACGAAUUCAACCACUCCCGAACACACAAUUUUGCUUCCUCCUUGUCCUAGAUUAUUCAACUAUUCAGGUGUCACUUUCAGGAUGGUUGCCGACUGUUUUCCAGCCUUCUUGGAGAAACGUCACAUUCCAUAUCAGUUGACCGUAUACAUGCCAGCACUUAGCUGCCAAGGUUCAAACAAGUAGUACAAUUUCUGCUAUGUCCAACAACUUACUUGCAAAGAACGUUGGUAAUACACUGAAACUCAUUGUUCACACUAUUACACCUAAACUUUGUCCUUUUUGUAUUUCGCAAACAUGAUUGAAUUUGAUCGCGCCAUUUUGUAUAGAUUUAAAAUACAGCCUCUCCUAUAGAUGAGAUCUUUCUAAAGAAUUUUUUAGAACUUUUA